This 133-nucleotide non-coding RNA is filed under the name Heterosigma akashiwo. Lineage: Eukaryota; Raphidophyceae; Chattonellales; Chattonellaceae. The record is from RNAcentral.
UAGAAGCAGUGGAGACGUUGGUGCUUUUUUUGGAAAAAGCAGUGGAGAGAUUUUUAAAAUACAAUUAUUUUUGAAAUUACUUUAUUCUUUUGGCUACAAUAUUAUUAUUUUAAAAAUAAUAAAAAAAAUGCUG